GAUGAACGCUAGCUACAGGCUUAACACAUGCAAGUCGAGGGGCAUCAGGAACAAAGCUUGCUUUGUUUGCUGGCGACCGGCGCACGGGUGAGUAACGCGUAUCCGACCUACCCAUAACUCGGGCACAGCCGCUCGAAAGAGCGAUUGAUUCCCGAUAUGUCCUUGGAGUAGAUUCAAUGAUGAAAGAUUUAUCGGUUAUGGAUGGGGAUGCGUAAGAUUAGGUAGUAGGCGGGGUAACGGCCCACCUAGCCGACGAUCUUUAGGGGUUCUGAGAGGAAGGUCCCCCACACUGGUACUGAGACACGGACCAGACUCCUACGGGAGGCAGCAGUGAGGAAUAUUGGUCAAUGGGCGGAAGCCUGAACCAGCCAAGUAGCGUGAAGGAUUACAGCCCUACGGGUUGUAAACUUCUUUUGUUUGGGGAAUAAAUGAUACUACGUGUAGUAUUUUGCAUGUACCUUACGAAUAAGCAUCGGCUAAUUCCGUG
This 487-nucleotide ribosomal RNA is filed under the name uncultured bacterium. RNAcentral describes it as "bacterial SSU rRNA". It matches the Rfam family "Bacterial small subunit ribosomal RNA", at positions 28 to 507 of the family's 1533-position model. The record is from RNAcentral.